Siniperca chuatsi (mandarin fish) is the source of this 556-nucleotide long non-coding RNA. RefSeq lists it as uncharacterized. The transcript is spliced from 3 exons. The record is from RefSeq and is a predicted model, not a curated record. Lineage: Eukaryota; Metazoa; Chordata; Actinopteri; Centrarchiformes; Sinipercidae.
AUGGAAUAAAAGGCCGAAAUACAAUCAAGGCGUUUCAGGAGCAGUGAUUUCUGUGGGAGACACUAACUCCCUAAGGGUGUGACACACUGGCCUUACGUUACCGUUGGUGCAGACAGUGAUGAAGCAGAUCAGUUACCCUGGUAAUGAUGCUGCCUGUGGACAUAUGGAGCAGGAGACGGACAGGCUUCCUGGCACAACCAGAUCUUUCAGAUGUGGACACAUCAGCCUGAGGGGCUACAGUGCAAACAACACUUCAAGGGAAACCAAGAUGAAGAAAAACAAGAAGAAGAUGAUGAGGAGGAGUAGAGGGAAAUUACUUAAUUAGCCAGUUUCCACCAUUGCCUCUGCACAAAUGAUUUCUUAGAAGUAAUUAAAAGUGCUGUGCAGGGCCAUUGAAGCAGGUUUGAGUAUUAGUGCAUUGCUCAUUAAUGUAAGAACUGGAAAUGGCUCAUAAUUGAAAUACAUCCUCCUCAGCUUGGGAUUUGUCAGUAAAAACAUACAAAGCAUGACAGCAAAAUGUGUGUAUUGUAAAUAUUCUCCUUCAAUAAACUUGUCA